UUUUUUUUUUUUGCUGUACCAGACAUCAGCUGACAAGGAACACAUUUAAUAAAUGACAAAAGGAUAGGAAAACACCAGACACAGACAGGUGAUUUAUUACUUAUUGGUGAGGAAACCAGACA
Thalassophryne amazonica is the source of this 122-nucleotide long non-coding RNA. RefSeq lists it as uncharacterized. The transcript has 3 exons. NCBI's taxonomy places the organism in Eukaryota, Metazoa, Chordata, Actinopteri, Batrachoidiformes, Batrachoididae. The record is from RefSeq and is a predicted model, not a curated record.